AAUACAGAACUGUCAGAACAUGCAGUGACAGAAAUGUUGUAGCUAAGCAACCACAUAUAGUCCAGUGUUCACAUUGACACACUGUUGGUG
This is a long non-coding RNA of Thalassophryne amazonica, 90 nucleotides long. RefSeq lists it as uncharacterized. NCBI's taxonomy places the organism in Eukaryota, Metazoa, Chordata, Actinopteri, Batrachoidiformes, Batrachoididae. The transcript is spliced from 3 exons. The record is from RefSeq and is a predicted model, not a curated record.